AGAACUAUCUAUUUAUGCAUAAAAGGAAAUUUUGUCUGCGUAAUAUUAUUUGAAUUUUUACACCUUAGCUGAACAAUGCUUUAUUUGUCUUUUUAGUGCAUAUCAUACUUUUAUAUAAACAAUAAUGUUCAUGAAAUAAGUGUGAAUAAAACCAUCAUGAUGUGUAUAUUUUAGGUUCAUACUGUGAUUGAGCUUAUAACACAAUAUUGACUGCUGUACCCAUAUUGUUGACAUUUUUGCCUAUUAUGUUUGUGUGUUUAGUGCACACAUUGUGUCAAUAUGAUAGCAUUUUAUACUACUGCCACACAAGUGACAGAUUUAGAUAGCUUUAAAACCAUAUUUAAUCUACCAUUUGCUAAAUAAAGAAUCUCUAAUGGUGACUGGGGAAUGAAAAUAUGGUCACCCUUGGUCUUCCUCCGUCCGGCGGUAAAUACCUCGCUAAAGUGGGCGUCCGGUCAGAAUGCGGAUGUUAAAUCCGAUGCCUCGUGUGAAGAGAGUGCCACGUUCUUUGCACGUUGAUAACCGUUGCAACAACACUUUGAGGGGUCUGUAGGUGGGUAGCUGCAAGGCUGUUUUUUUGUCCUUCUUCAAAAUACCCUCAUUUCCCCGUGGCAUUCCAAAUGUUCCCGACUUUCAUCCUGGACUGCCUCUAUUACAAGACAUACGUAUUGUAUAAGUUGUUAAUUUGUUGUCGUCCUGUGCAAUGUAUAAAACUUUUUCUACAAAGUACAGCCAUGUGUUUACCGUUUUUAAUGGCCUGAUUUCCUAGUAACUGGCAAGGAUUUCCAGCUUGCUUUCAGUAACCGUAAUCAGUCAUUGAACAAGUGGUAU
RNAcentral lists this long non-coding RNA (831 nucleotides) under Mytilus galloprovincialis (Mediterranean mussel). Lineage: Eukaryota; Metazoa; Mollusca; Bivalvia; Mytilida; Mytilidae. The record is from RNAcentral.